CCAAAAAUAUUUUUCACUUUUCUUAACAUUUUAUUUAAUUUUAUAUCAUUUUUAUUUUCGUAUUUUUUUAAUAUUAAUAUUUUAAUUUAAUUAUUUAUUCUAAAUGGUCCAUUUUAACACACUUUUUUUAUUGAUUUUAUUUUUAUGACUUAAAAUUAUUGUUAACAUUUGAUUUUUGGGAUGAAGGUUGACCACUAUCUCAUGGUCAACCUAACCUUUUCUUGGAAUUUUAUUUCAU
RNAcentral lists this long non-coding RNA (238 nucleotides) under Lathyrus oleraceus (garden pea). RNAcentral describes it as "Pisum sativum (pea) long non-coding RNA (PSAT_LNC015978)". Lineage: Eukaryota; Viridiplantae; Streptophyta; Magnoliopsida; Fabales; Fabaceae. The record is from RNAcentral.